This 49-nucleotide small nuclear RNA is filed under the name Cervus elaphus hippelaphus. Lineage: Eukaryota; Metazoa; Chordata; Mammalia; Artiodactyla; Cervidae. The record is from RNAcentral.
GUGCUUGCUUCGGCAGCACAUAUACUAAAAUUAGAAGUUACAGAAGAAA